GGGAGAUAAGGCGGCAGCACCCGGCAGCUCAUAUGGAAUUACUGCAGUGACCUUGAGCAAGAGGCUGCCAGGGCCAAAGCCUUUCUGGGGAAUGCUGUCCAGCUGCUUUAGCAGGAAGCACUUUGCUGACAUGUGCCGGGUUGAGGGACCCUGCACCCAGCUCGCUCUGCCUUGGAACCCUGCUCCGACCCAAGCCCAGCUGCAGAGUGUGCCACACUCGGCCCUGGGCUGCUUCCACAAAAAGCUCUGUUCCAGCUGUGAUGGACAAGCAAACCCAGUCAGAAAGCGGUGAUAAGCCCAGACGCACACACAGGCUGAUGGAGACAGGCUGGGUGGCUCCAACACAAGGCCUAACCAUGCUCACAAUAUUUAUGACAUGAAUUUCACUCAUUUUUAAUUCAAGAGUGAUUAGUCUUGGAAGGAAGCAAGUAAGAGUUGGCUCAGAAUGGGGCAUGGGUACACUGAGCUGGAUGGAAAGAGAUGGCAAGAUCAGCACAAGAAGCAAGCUCAUGUGUUCAAAACCAGGCAGGGUGGCACACCUCUUGGGAUAGUGAGUUUUCACUGGGAUCCAGAAUGCCUCAGAGAAGCUGUCACCAAGUCCCAAGAGGAGACUGGACAAACAGUAAAGAAGAUCAUCAAAAAUGGGAUGACUUUUUUCUAAGUUAUUGUCCUGGUACUUGGGCUCAUGAGUACAAGGGACACUCUCUGCUCACUCACCUGCUAGCCAGGCAAGAUCGAGACUCAAAGAAUCCGACAUUUCACAUGUUGACUGGUGCUUUUAAAUUCUUCCUCCCUAGCAGAAAUGCCAGUAUUUUCUACUCAACUGUUUCUGAGGCUGUGAUAUUUCUUGCCUUGUCUCUUCUUGGCAAGCGAUCAUCUGUAGCAGUAACAGAUGAUCUAGCAA
This is a long non-coding RNA of Tyto alba (common barn owl), 904 nucleotides long. RefSeq lists it as uncharacterized. The record is from RefSeq and is a predicted model, not a curated record. NCBI's taxonomy places the organism in Eukaryota, Metazoa, Chordata, Aves, Strigiformes, Tytonidae. The transcript has 2 exons.